CAGUAGCCGCGGGAAUACGGAGGGUGCAAGCGUUAAUCGGAAUUACUGGGCGUAAAGCGCACGCAGGCGGUUGGUUAAGUCAGAUGUGAAAUCCCCGAGCUUAACUUGGGAACUGCAUUUGAAACUGGCAAGCUAGAGUCUUGUAGAGGGGGGUAGAAUUCCAGGUGUAGCGGUGAAAUGCGUAGAGAUCUGGAGGAAUACCGGUGGCGAAGGCGGCCCCCUGGACAAAGACUGACGCUCAGGUGCGGAAGCGUGGGGAGCAAACAGGAUUAGAGACCCCGGUAGUCCCUGUCUCUUAUAC
RNAcentral lists this ribosomal RNA (301 nucleotides) under uncultured bacterium. RNAcentral describes it as "partial 16S ribosomal RNA". It matches the Rfam family "Bacterial small subunit ribosomal RNA", at positions 509 to 807 of the family's 1533-position model. The record is from RNAcentral.